RNAcentral lists this unclassified non-coding RNA (323 nucleotides) under soil metagenome. RNAcentral describes it as "partial contains 5.8S ribosomal RNA, internal transcribed spacer 2, and large subunit ribosomal RNA". The stretch from base 1 to 120 matches the Rfam family "5.8S ribosomal RNA", at positions 35 to 154 of the family's 154-position model. The record is from RNAcentral.
GAUGAAGAACGUAGCGAAAUGCGAUAAGUAAUGUGAAUUGCAGAAUUCAGUGAAUCAUCGAAUCUUUGAACGCACCUUGCGCCCUGUGGUAUUCCGCAGGGCAUGCCUGUUCGAGCGUCAUUUCAACCCUCAAGCUCUGCUUGGUGUUGGGCCACGCCCUCGCGGCCGGCCCCAAAGCCAGUGGCGGCGCCGUCCGGCUCUAAGCGUAGUACAUCUCUCGCUCUAGGGCCCGGCGGCUGCCUGCCAGAACCCCAAACUCUUAUGGUUGACCUCGGAUCAGGUAGGGAUACCCGCUGAACUUAAGCAUAUCAAUAAGCGGAGGA